This 293-nucleotide unclassified non-coding RNA is filed under the name Stictis sp. Its description in RNAcentral is "partial contains 5.8S ribosomal RNA, internal transcribed spacer 2, and large subunit ribosomal RNA". Lineage: Eukaryota; Fungi; Ascomycota; Lecanoromycetes; Ostropales; Stictidaceae. The record is from RNAcentral.
AACGCACCUUGCACCCUUUGGCAUUCUGAAGGGUAUGCUCGUUUGAGUGUCAUUGUACUCUCACACUUCCGAUCUUUGUAUUGGGAGCGGUGGACUUGGGUUUGCUGCUUCACCGCGGCUUACCUCAAAUACGGUAGUGCAACUCUUGGUUGGACGUAAUACGGCGUGAUAAGUGGUUCUUCGCCGGUGCCUCGCAAAGAGGGUGGCCGAUCGGGAGGUUGUGCUCCAAACCGUCUUCGGACAAUCUCUGACUACUUGACCUCAAAUCGAGUAGGACUACCCGCUGAACUUAA